AGAGACAGCAGUCGCCACGGUAAUACGUAGGUCCCGAGCGUUGUCCGGAUUUAUUGGGCGUAAAGCGAGCGCAGGCGGUUAGAUAAGUCUGAAGUUAAAGGCUGUGGCUUAACCAUAGUACGCUUUGGAAACUGUUUAACUUGAGUGCAAGAGGGGAGAGUGGAAUUCCAUGUGUAGCGGUGAAAUGCGUAGAUAUAUGGAGGAACACCGGUGGCGAAAGCGGCUCUCUGGCUUGUAACUGACGCUGAGGCUCGAAAGCGUGGGGAGCAAACAGGAUUAGAUACCCCCGUAGUCCCUGUCUCUUAUACA
RNAcentral lists this ribosomal RNA (309 nucleotides) under uncultured bacterium. RNAcentral's name for it is "partial 16S ribosomal RNA". It matches the Rfam family "Bacterial small subunit ribosomal RNA", at positions 504 to 808 of the family's 1533-position model. The record is from RNAcentral.